CAAGGUUUCCGCUGGCGGUCGCCAUUUUCGCAAUUUGCGAAAAAAUAAUAAUUGUGGCGAUAAAAAUUCGUCAUUUGCGAAAGAAUUUGGCGAAAGAAAUAUAUAUAACGAUUCAUUUUCCUCCAUCUUGUUUAUUUACUUUUUUUCGAGUUUCUCGAACUUUACCCGAUCAGACAAUACUCGGAAUUCACCUUGACCUCAAGGCCAAAUGAUUUGGACAGAAAAUCAAUAAUCAGCUGAUUGCAUUUCAUAGCUAUCGAUAACAAAGGACUAAUUAAUAAAGGUGUUGAUUGAAUUGUUUGACAAAAUGAUAUGGUUAAAUGGCUUCUGCUAAAUGUCGCAUACAGAAUUAAUUUACUACUUUGCGACGCACGUGUUUGAAGCAAACUUUUGACGUCUCCCUCCAGAAAGCUGUUGUUGUGACGAAAAAUAUUCAAAAGCAAGAAAAAUCUCCGAUUUAUCCUUUGACUUUAAUAUAGGUAAUUGAUUAGGGAGAUUACUUAAAAGUCGUUUAAGUGACACACAUGUU
RNAcentral lists this long non-coding RNA (529 nucleotides) under Mytilus galloprovincialis (Mediterranean mussel). The record is from RNAcentral. Lineage: Eukaryota; Metazoa; Mollusca; Bivalvia; Mytilida; Mytilidae.